Molecule: ribosomal RNA, 441 nt
Filed under: uncultured bacterium
Lineage: Bacteria
Description: partial 16S ribosomal RNA
Rfam family: Bacterial small subunit ribosomal RNA
Source: RNAcentral
CCUACGGGUGGCAGCAGUGGGGAAUAUUGCACAAUGGGGGAAACCCUGAUGCAGCGACGCCGCGUGAGUGAAGAAGUAUUUCGGUAUGUAAAGCUCUAUCAGCAGGGAAGAAAAAAGACGGUACCGGACUAAGAAGCACCGGCUAACUACGUGCCAGCAGCCGCGGGAAUACGUAGGGAGCAAGCGUUAUCCGGAGUUACUGGGGGUAAAGGGGUCGUAAACGGGGCGGCAAGUCUGAAGUGAAAGGCAGGGGCUUAACCCCCGAACUGCUUUUGAAACUGCCAUGCUAGAGUGCUGGAGAGGUAAGUAGAAUUCCUAGUGUAGCGGUGAAAUGCGUAGAUAUUAGGAGGAACACCAGUUGCGAAGGCGGCUUACUGGACCGUAACUGACGUUGAGGCUCGAAAGCGUGGGGAGCGAACAGGAUUAGAUACCCGGGUAGUC